UUAUUAAUAAAAUUUUGUUUACAAAUAAAAUCAGUUUAUACAUUAACCAAAAUAUUAAACCAAAAACUAAUUAACCAAACCUAAAUAAACAAAAAAAAAAUUGAACCAAACCUAAUAAACUAAAACCUAAAGCUCUAAGCUGCGGUCUCCCUUCCAUCGCAGUUCCAUCGUCUCCUUCUUCCUGGCUCUUUCUUCUCUUCUUCUUCUUCUUGUUUGGCUUCACCUACACCACCACCACUAGCUUUCUCUGCCAUCUCCGACUUAAGCCUCUGUUCUCUUACAUCAUCUGAGAUGUCACAGCUAAAGUUUUUGUACCUCUCUUUCUGGAAAGUCCAACAUUAGCAUCAGACAAGGUCUGAAGAAGCUCGGCUCGGGACUUACCCUUUAGCACGAUACAUAGAGGAGGUCCACACUUGCUGGUGUUUCUUUCUUAGAAACGGUAAGAAUAUCGAUGUUUGCUGUAGUAGAUAAACAAUUAAAUUAUGACGUACCAGCCGUUAAACGCUAUGAGUUCGAUAUAAUAGUUUUCCCUAAAACGUUCUGACAACGCCCGUUAUAAUAGGUCUGUCACUUUUGAUAGCGGAUAUGUCGUAUGCUAUAAUUAAAUAAACAACAAUAGCGUUAAUUUCUAUGCAAUUGUUAAUUUUUAUAAUAAUGAAUUGAUUUUAUUUUUUUAAAUGUAAUAUUUAUUUCGAAUUUUUAUAAUAAAAGUAAUUAAUCAUAUUAUAACAACUAAAAUAUAUUUAAAUGAUUAAAAACAAAAAAAAUUAAAAAUUAAAUUAUAUUUAUUAAUAAAAUUUUGUUUACAAAUAAAAUCAGUUUAUACAUUAACCAAAAUAUUAAACCAAAAACUAAUUAACCAAACCUAAAUAAACAAAAAAAAAAUUGAACCAAACCUAAUAAACUAAAACCUAAAGCUCUAAGCUGCGGUCUCCCUUCCAUCGCAGUUCCAUCGUCUCCUUCUUCCUGGCUCUUUCUUCUCUUCUUCUUCUUCUUGUUUGGCUUCACCUACACCACCACCACUAGCUUUCUCUGCCAUCUCCGACUUAAGCCUCUGUUCUCUUACAUCAUCUGAGAUGUCACAGCUAAAGUUUUUGUACCUCUCUUUCUGGAAAGUCCAACAUUAGCAUCAGACAAGGUCUGAAGAAGCUCGGCUCGGGACUUACCCUUUAGCACGAUACAUAGAGGAGGUCCACACUUGCUGGUGUUUCUUUCUUAGAAACGGUAAGAAUAUCGAUGUUUGCUGUAGUAGAUAAACAAUUAAAUUAUGACGAACCUACAAGCAAUGGAACUUGGAUAUUAACACUCUAAACUCGAAGAUUAGAAGUAAAUCAUCAAAAAAGUUUAACAACAUACCCGGCUGAGUAGAAACUCCCAAGAAGAACUUGUCAACAACUCCAUAACAGGGCAAGACUGGUCAUACUAAAGAAAAAAAGAUGAAAGAUCAGAGCAACCAUUAAUCACAACCAGAGUCGAUCAUUUCAAUCAUCUUCUCCACAAUCUGAAAAAAUUAAUUUGUAUUGAAAUCAGCAACACCAUUCAAAAAUAGAGAGCCAUCAACGUUCUCGCAAGUAGCUAUGUCUUAUAAUCCCUCAAAUCAAGAACUCAAAGCAAUACAUAGUACAAUGAGACUGCAGAACCCAACCUCUCUCUGUGACCACCAAGACGUCGGCCAGAGAUGUAGCGACCAGUCAUGCCCUCAGCCAUGUCUCCAGAUGUCACAGCUAAAGUUUUUGUACCUCUCUUUCUGGAAAGUCCAACAUUAGCAUCAGACAAGGUCUGAAGAAGCUCGGCUCGGGACUUACCCUUUAGCACGAUACAUAGAGGAGGUCCACACUUGCUGGUGUUUCUUUCUUAGAAACGGUAAGAAUAUCGAUGUUUGCUGUAGUAGAUAAACAAUUAAAUUAUGACGAACCUACAAGCAAUGGAACUUGGAUAUUAACACUCUAAACUCGAAGAUUAGAAGUAAAUCAUCAAAAAAGUUUAACAACAUACCCGGCUGAGUAGAAACUCCCAAGAAGAACUUGUCAACAACUCCAUAACAGGGCAAGACUGGUCAUACUAAAGAAAAAAAGAUGAAAGAUCAGAGCAACCAUUAAUCACAACCAGAGUCGAUCAUUUCAAUCAUCUUCUCCACAAUCUGAAAAAAUUAAUUUGUAUUGAAAUCAGCAACACCAUUCAAAAAUAGAGAGCCAUCAACGUUCUCGCAAGUAGCUAUGUCUUAUAAUCCCUCAAAUCAAGAACUCAAAGCAAUACAUAGUACAAUGAGACUGCAGAACCCAACCUCUCUCUGUGACCACCAAGACGUCGGCCAGAGAUGUAGCGACCAGUCAUGCCCUCAGCCAUGUCUCCAUCGUCUUGCUCUCUCGCCAACCACUAACUCGUCACACCACCAACUUUUAGUUAUCACAGUACCAUUUUCGCAGAUCUGGAAACAAACAAAAACAAAUCUAAAAACAGAUGAGUAGAAGAGACGAAACAAAAUAACAUUAAAUCUUACCAUCGGUGAUUGAUAUCUUUGUUUUUCAUUGAUGGAAAUGAAAAGAAGCAGAUUAGAAGAGAAGAGAGAAGAGAGAAGAUGAAGAGAUGAAGUCUCGAAUUUUUUUAGCCAAAGAGAUGAAGUCUCGAUAGAGGAGAGAAGGAAGAAAAAAGAUUUAAAACAAUUAAUUAAAAUAGAUUAAUUUCAGCCUUUAGAUCGACACUGAUCAACGACCAGGAUUAAAUAUGAUUGAUCCCAUUUUUUCUAAAUGAACCAAUCAGAAGAAAAUGAUUGUGGACCUUUAGAUUCGAUUUAAUGAGUCGUUAAGAUUGCGAUCCACGCACUUGUUUUUAAUUGGCUCAUAUUUGCUAACAUUAUUUAUGUAUUAACUAAUAAGUUUUUUUCCUUUGUUUUUGUAGUUUUUGUUUCUUGUUCUAUGGUUUAGUUUAAAAUUUUGGAAGUUACAAUAUAAAAAUGAUUUGUAAUUUAAGCUUUAGGAUUAAAAAUAUAUAUAAACUUAAAAAUUAAAAGAUACACACCUUUGUGAAAUGAACCAAUAGGAAAAAUAAAAUGAUUUGUGGUUUAUGGUUAUGGGUUUGAUAUUAAAAUGUAUAUGUUCAUAAUAUAGAGUUAUAGAGUUAAGGAUUUGAGUAUGAAUGUUAAAAUUAUUAAGUAUACAUUUUAAGUAUGGAUAUAUGGUUUGAAGUAUGUAUAUGUAAGGUUUAGAGUUUGAGGUUAUACUUAUGGUUUUAUAUUCAAGUUUGGAAAAGUAUACAUCUUGAAUUUAAAUUAUUAAAGUUUUAGUGUUGGUGUUUAGAUUUAUAAACAUGAUUUGAGUUUUAAAUAUACUUGGAGUUUAAGUUUAAAAUUUAUAUUAUAAAUUUGAAAAACUUAGAUUUAUGACUUUGUAUGUAGAGUUUAAGUUUGGGGUUUGGGGUUUAGGGUGUAGAUUUAAGAUUUAGUGUUUGAGGUUUAGAUUUAAAUUUGAGAUAGAUUUUUAAAAUGAUUAAGUUUAAUUUUUGAUUGAAAUGAAUAGAUUGAAAUUUUAAAUUUAUGUUCAGGGAUUUAACACCCUAUAAUUAUAUAUAAAUCUAGAUACGGUUUUGCCUGCCACUGCCCUAAAUGUCUGGAUGAUUCAUCAAUCUCCGAAAUACUCAAUUUCGCAUUAUUUUAUUCAUUGUUCCUUGGUUUUGUAAUGGUUUUUUUGUUUUGAUAUUUAAAAACCUUAGUUCUCCUUGAGCUUAAUUAAUCCAUAUCCAUAAACGAAGAUUCAAUAUAUAUUUAAAGAGAUAAUCAUGCACGCAUUCUAAACUUUGUCACAAAACAAAAUAUAAAGUUUCCCAGGCAUAUAAUACUUAAAGAACGUCUAGAAAGUUUUGAGUUGGCUGAAGUAUUCUGUUGCUUGGAUACAUGACGAGGACCCUCUCCCAGUACCUUGCAAAACGUACUGGACUCCAUCUUUAACACCGCCGCAAUGUAAUUGGAUAGACCCUGAGGUUCUUUCAUACGGAUGACUUCUUUCAUUUCUCUGGUCAAGCCGAUGUAUAAAAUCCUCUCCAAGUGAUGAUCAUCCAACCCUGACACUUGAGCUGACAAAUCCUCAAACUCUGACACAUAAUCAGCUAUAGAUCCAGUUUGACGAAUUGAGAACAACCUCGUGCUAGGCUCAUCUUCAAUCGACUCUGAAAAGCGCACACAAAGGCGUUGCUUAAAGUCUUGCCAGCUCUGGAAACCACCUCGACGCAUCACCCAAGCAUACCAUUUCUUCAACGCUCCCUUCAAACACAAUGGAACAAGAUCCAACCUCGAAUCUUCAUCAUAUCUCCCCAACUCAUAAAAAUACUCCACAUCAACCAUCCACUCAGAGAUUCUAGAACCAUCACAGAAUGGCAUCUCAAGUUUCUUCAACAUGUUCUCGCGAUUAUCUAGAUUCAACUGCUCCUCACGGUAACCAAACAGAGAGUGAUCUCGCACCCUUUCGUAUCAAGGACGGCGUACCUGAGAUUGAGAAGACGAUAACACCGGAUCUCGUAGCGGAGAACAGAACGGAGAUCGAUCAAUCACCGGCUGCUUUCCCAAUGCCUUAAGUGCCGAAUCGAGCUUCGAAUCCAUCGACGACAGCUUCGUAUCAACUGAAUCGACUCGCGCUUCCAACGAAUCGAAUCGAUCAUCCUUUACCUUCGCAUCAGUACACAACUUCUCAUACGCUCCCAUCAGAAACGUCACCUGACCUUGAAUCUUCGUCGGAUCCAUCGAUACAUCAGAAUAACCGGAUUUGGACUGAGAAGACGAAAAAAUAGUCGCGUUUGAGAGAUCGAACCGUUUCACCGCACCAAUGAUAGACUUUUGUAGAUUGGAAGACUGAGAAAUUUGUAAAGGAAGUACUCGUUUAUUGAAAAUAGAAAUAACUUUGCAAGUUCAGAUUCAGAUCAUCAUCUCAUGACGAUAGUGAUCUUCAUCUACGAUCUCAUAACGAUCGCCACUAGACUCAUAGCGUCUACAAAGAACAUACAAAGCAUAGACCCCCCAAUACAAAUGAUACUCUCUCUCAUAUACAACUCGAGCUUCCUUGGCAGUUAGAGUCUAACUGCUAACCUUCUGCUUCUCCCAGAGUCUCUCCCUUCUUAUCGAACUCGGCCACAUCAUCCAAUUCGAACUCUCCCUCCAGCUUUGCCAUGUCACUCAAUGAUUCAUUUAAACGCUUCUUCCCGCGCCUCACAUAAGAACGUUUGAACCUAUCACUUACCCUUUAGCACGAUACAUAGAGGAGGUCCACACUUGCUGGUGUUUCUUUCUUAGAAACGGUAAGAAUAUCGAUGUCUGCUGUAGUAGAUAAACCAUUAAAUUAUGACCAACCUACAAGCAAUGGAACUUGGAUAUUAACACUCUAAACUCGAAGAUUAGAAGUAAAUCAUCAAAAAAGUUUAACAAC
Molecule: long non-coding RNA, 5411 nt
Filed under: Brassica napus (rape)
Lineage: Eukaryota; Viridiplantae; Streptophyta; Magnoliopsida; Brassicales; Brassicaceae
Description: long non-coding RNA (BNAP_LNC019762)
Source: RNAcentral